This 506-nucleotide ribosomal RNA is filed under the name uncultured bacterium. RNAcentral describes it as "partial 16S ribosomal RNA". It matches the Rfam family "Bacterial small subunit ribosomal RNA", at positions 28 to 523 of the family's 1533-position model. The record is from RNAcentral.
GAUGAACGCUAGCGGCAGGCCUAAUACAUGCAAGUCGGACGGGAUCUAUCGGAGAGCUUGCUCGAAGAUAGUGAGAGUGGCGCACGGGUGCGUAACGCGUGAGCAACCUACCCAUAUCAGGGGGAUAGCCCGGAGAAAUCCGGAUUAAGACCGCAUAACACAUCACCUUCGCAUGGAGGCGUUGUUAAAUAUUUAUAGGAUAUGGAUGGGCUCGCGUGACAUUAGCUAGUUGGUGAGGUAACGGCUCACCAAGGCGACGAUGUCUAGGGGCUCUGAGAGGAGAAUCCCCCACACUGGUACUGAGACACGGACCAGACUCCUACGGGAGGCAGCAGUAAGGAAUAUUGGUCAAUGGGCGGAAGCCUGAACCAGCCAUGCCGCGUGCAGGACGACUGCCCUAUGGGUUGUAAACUGCUUUUGUCGAGGAAUAAACCUAUCUACGUGUAGAUAGCUGAACGUACUCGAAGAAUAAGGAUCGGCUAACUCCGUGCCAGCCGCCGCCGUAA